Molecule: ribosomal RNA, 468 nt
Filed under: uncultured bacterium
Lineage: Bacteria
Description: partial 16S ribosomal RNA
Rfam family: Bacterial small subunit ribosomal RNA
Source: RNAcentral
GACGAACGCUGGCGGCGUGCUUAACACAUGCAAGUCGAACGGAAAGGCCCUGCUUUUGUGGGGGGCUCGAGUGGCGAACGGGUGAGUAACACGUGAGUAACCUGCCCUUGACUUUGGGAUAACUUCAGGAAACUGGGGCUAAUACCGGAUAGGAGCUCCUGCUGCAUGGUGGGGGUUUGAAAGUUUCGGCGGUUGGGGAUGGACUCGCGGCUUAUCAGCUUGUUGGUGGGGUAGUGGCUUACCAAGGCUUUGACGGGUAGCCGGCCUGAGAGGGUGACCGGCCACAUUGGGACUGAGAUACGGCCCAGACUCCUACGGGAGGCAGCAGUGGGGAAUAUUGCACAAUGGGCGGAAGCCUGAUGCAGCAACGCCGCGUGCGGGAUGACGGCCUUCGGGUUGUAAACCGCUUUCGCCUGUGACGAAGCGUGAGUGACGGUAAUGGGUAAAGAAGCACCGGCUAACUACGUG